This 879-nucleotide long non-coding RNA is filed under the name Heterocephalus glaber (naked mole-rat). RNAcentral describes it as "lncRNA (ENSHGLG00100047924.1)". The record is from RNAcentral. Lineage: Eukaryota; Metazoa; Chordata; Mammalia; Rodentia; Bathyergidae.
CUCAAAUUUGUGAUCCUGCUCCCUCAGCUUCCCAAGUGCUAAUAUUACAGAUAUAUACCAAGGCUAUAGUUUAGAACCCCUGAGACCUGAAUUUGAACCCUUGGAUCUUUCACACCAGUUAUGUGACCUGGACCUCAAACUUGUACUGAACAUUUCUGAGCUUCAGUUGCUGGAUCUGAAACAUAAGAAGGUGGUACCUCAUAAAGCUGUGUGAGGACUGAUUAGAACUUUCAUGCAACAAAUAUUUAUUGAAUGCAUUUUCUGUGUAAAAGUUUUAGGAAUACAAAGAAGAAGAGAAAGACCUAUCCCCUCCUCAGAGGUCACAUCUCUGUGCUAGAUGUCUAACAGAGUAGCUAUGCAAUAAAUGUAGCUUCUCCUUUGCCAAGGAAGUGGGAGAGCCUCCUGGGGAAAGGAAUUGACCCAAAACUACAGGAUCAAACUUGGGACCUUGUGCUUGCGAGGCAGGUGACGGCACUGGGUUGAUACUUUGAAGUUGCUUAUUUGAGAAUGACUGUCUGGAAUGGUGUCUGGGAACUUCUGAAAGCUCCCCAAGAGAGACCAACUCUCAGCCGAGGCUCAGGACCACGGCUCUGGGGAUAGUGUGUGCAUCCCACAGUAUGGAAAGCUGACAGAAGACAUGGAUUGUUGGUCUUAGAAGAUGGGGAAUGGAGCACUCAGGAGGCUGAAGCUGGAGGAUCGAUACAAGUUCGAGGCCAGCCUGGGCUACAUAGUGAAUUCAAGACCAGCCUGAACAACAUAGUGAGACCCUGUCCAAAAAAAAAGAUGGGGAAAGUAGUUGGGAAUGAAUUAUUAAGCUGUGAUACACACACAUAUAUAUAUAUCAAUUCCCCAAAAUGACUGUAAUUUUUAUGUAUUACA